GCACUUACUUUGGUAGCACAUAUACUGAAAUUGGACCCAUACAAAGAAGAUUAGCAUGUCCAAGAAUGACAGACAUGCAAAUACAUAAAGCACUCAUACUUUUU
Nycticebus coucang (slow loris) is the source of this 104-nucleotide small nuclear RNA. The record is from RefSeq and is a predicted model, not a curated record. Lineage: Eukaryota; Metazoa; Chordata; Mammalia; Primates; Lorisidae.